GACGAAGGGAGCGAGCGUUGUUCGGAAUCACUGGGCUUAAAGGGCGCGUAGGCGGCCUUGUAUGUCGGUUGUGAAAUCCCUGAGCUCAACUCAGGAAUUGCUUCCGAAACUGCAAGGCUUGAGGCAUUCUGGGGGCGACUGGAACUCUUGGUGGAGCGGUAAAAUGCGUAGAUAUCAAGAGGAACGCCGGUGGUGAAGACGGGUCGCUGGGGAUGUCCUGACGCUGAGGCGCGAAAGCUAGGGGAGCAAACGGGAUUAGAUAC
Molecule: ribosomal RNA, 263 nt
Filed under: uncultured bacterium
Lineage: Bacteria
Description: partial 16S ribosomal RNA
Rfam family: Bacterial small subunit ribosomal RNA
Source: RNAcentral